GUGUCAGCAGCCGCGGUAAUACAGAGGUCCCAAGCGUUGUUCGGAUUCACUGGGCGUAAAGGGUGCGUAGGCGGUCGGGUAAGUCUGAUGUGAAAUCUCACAGCUUAACUGUGAAACUGCAUUGGAUACUAUCCGGCUCGAGGAAUGGAGGGGAGACUGGAAUACUUGGUGUAGCAGUGAAAUGCGUAGAUAUCAAGUGGAACACCAGUGGCGAAGGCGAGUCUCUGGACAUUUCCUGACGCUGAGGCACGAAAGCCAGGGGAGCAAACGGGAUUAGAUACCCUGGUAGUCC
Molecule: ribosomal RNA, 292 nt
Filed under: uncultured bacterium
Lineage: Bacteria
Description: partial 16S ribosomal RNA
Rfam family: Bacterial small subunit ribosomal RNA
Source: RNAcentral